Molecule: ribosomal RNA, 253 nt
Filed under: uncultured bacterium
Lineage: Bacteria
Description: partial 16S ribosomal RNA
Rfam family: Bacterial small subunit ribosomal RNA
Source: RNAcentral
UACAGAGGGUGCAAACGUUGUUCGGAAUUACUGGGCGUAAAGCGCGUGUAGGCGGCAUUGUAGGUCGGAUGUGAAAUCCCGUGGCUCAACCAUGGAAGUGCAUUCGAAACCGCAGAGCUAGAGUAUCGGAGAGGAAGGUGGAAUGCUUGGUGUAGAGGUGAAAUUCGUAGAUAUCAAGCGGAACACCGGUGGCGAAGGCGGCCUUCUGGACGAUUACUGACGCUGAGACGCGAAAGCGUGGGUAGCAAACAGG